RNAcentral lists this ribosomal RNA (253 nucleotides) under Coprococcus comes ATCC 27758. RNAcentral's name for it is "partial 16S ribosomal RNA". It matches the Rfam family "Bacterial small subunit ribosomal RNA", at positions 524 to 776 of the family's 1533-position model. Lineage: Bacteria; Bacillati; Bacillota; Clostridia; Lachnospirales; Lachnospiraceae. The record is from RNAcentral.
UACGUAUGGUGCAAGCGUUAUCCGGAUUUACUGGGUGUAAAGGGAGCGUAGACGGCUGUGUAAGUCUGAAGUGAAAGUCCGGGGCUCAACCCCGGGACUGCUUUGGAAACUAUGCAGCUAGAGUGUCGGAGAGGUAAGUGGAAUUCCCAGUGUAGCGGUGAAAUGCGUAGAUAUUGGGAGGAACACCAGUGGCGAAGGCGGCUUACUGGACGAUGACUGACGUUGAGGCUCGAAAGCGUGGGGAGCAAACAGG